Molecule: ribosomal RNA, 460 nt
Filed under: uncultured bacterium
Lineage: Bacteria
Description: partial 16S ribosomal RNA
Rfam family: Bacterial small subunit ribosomal RNA
Source: RNAcentral
CCUACGGGAGGCAGCAGUGAGGAAUAUUGGUCAAUGGGCGCGAGCCUGAACCAGCCAAGCAGCGUGAAGGAUGACUGCCCUACGGGUGGUAAACCUCUUUUAUAAAGGAAUAAAGUGAGGCACGUGUGCCUUUUUGUAUGUACUUUAUGAAUAAGGAUCGGCUAACUCCGUGCCAGCAGCCGCGGUAAUACGGAGGAUCCGAGCGUUAUCCGGAUUUAGUGGGUUUAAAGGGAGCGUAGAUGGGUUGUUAAGUCAGUUGUGAAAGUUUGCGGCUCAACCGUAAAAGUGCAAUUGAUACUGGCAGCCUUGAGUGCAGUUGAGGUAGGCGGAAUGCGAGGUGUAGCGGUGAAAUGCGUAGAUAUCUCGAAGAACUCCGAUUGCGAAGGCAGCUUACUAGACUGCCACUGACAUUGAUGCUCGAAAGUGUGGGUAUCAAACAGGAUUAGAUACCCUUGUAGUC